GUCGAGGGGCAGCACGGGUUUCGGCCUGGUGGCGACCGGCGCAAGGGUGCGUAACGCGUAUGUAACCUGCCUUAUACUGGGGCAUAGCUCUGAGAAAUUGGAAUUAAUACCCCAUAUACUGUUUUUAUCACCUGAUUUAAAUAGGAAAGCUCCGGCGGUAUAAGAUGGACAUGCGUCUGAUUAGUUAGAUGGUGAGGUAACGGCUCACCAUGACUACGAUCAGUAGGGGAUCUGAGAGGAUGAACCCCCACACCGGUACUGAGACACGGACCGGACUCCUACGGGAGGCAGCAGUGAGGAAUAUUGGGCAAUGAGCGAAAGCUUGACCCAGCCACUCCGCGUGCAGGAAGACGGCCUUAUGGGUUGUAAACUGCUUUUUUACAAGAAGAAAAACCUCUACGUGUAGAGAUAUGACGGUAUUGUAAGAAUAAGCAUCGGCUAACUCCGUG
This 449-nucleotide ribosomal RNA is filed under the name uncultured bacterium. Its description in RNAcentral is "bacterial SSU rRNA". It matches the Rfam family "Bacterial small subunit ribosomal RNA", at positions 61 to 507 of the family's 1533-position model. The record is from RNAcentral.